RNAcentral lists this transfer RNA (72 nucleotides) under Camelus bactrianus (Bactrian camel). It matches the Rfam family "tRNA". From Rfam's summary of the family: Transfer RNA (tRNA) molecules are approximately 80 nucleotides in length. Lineage: Eukaryota; Metazoa; Chordata; Mammalia; Artiodactyla; Camelidae. The record is from Rfam by way of RNAcentral. RNAcentral also lists the same sequence under 1 other name.
GAGGGUAUAACUCCUUGGUAGAGUGCAUGCCUAGCGCCCACGAGGUCCUGGGUUCAAUCCCCAGUACCUCCA